UACGGAGGGUGCAAGCGUUAUCCGGAUUCACUGGGUUUAAAGGGUGCGUAGGUGGGUCUGUAAGUCAGUGGUGAAAUCCCCGAGCUUAACUUGGGAACUGCCGUUGAUACUAUAGAUCUUGAAUAUCGUGGAGGUAAGCGGAAUAUGUCAUGUAGCGGUGAAAUGCUUAGAUAUGACAUAGAACACCAAUUGCGAAGGCAGCUGGCUAACCUGACAUUGACGCUGAGGCACGAAAGCGUGGGGAUCAAACAGG
This 253-nucleotide ribosomal RNA is filed under the name uncultured bacterium. RNAcentral's name for it is "partial 16S ribosomal RNA". It matches the Rfam family "Bacterial small subunit ribosomal RNA", at positions 524 to 776 of the family's 1533-position model. The record is from RNAcentral.